This 877-nucleotide ribosomal RNA is filed under the name Inonotus hispidus. Its description in RNAcentral is "eukaryotic LSU rRNA". It matches the Rfam family "Eukaryotic large subunit ribosomal RNA", at positions 77 to 929 of the family's 3401-position model. The record is from RNAcentral. Lineage: Eukaryota; Fungi; Basidiomycota; Agaricomycetes; Hymenochaetales; Hymenochaetaceae.
CCCCUAACUGCGAGUGAAGCGGGAUGAGCUCAAAUUUAAAAUCUGGCGGUCCUUGUGGCCGUCCGAGUUGUAGUCUGGAGAAGUGUUAUCCGCGUCGGACCGUGUACAAGUCUCCUGGAAUGGAGCGUCAUAGAGGGUGAGAAUCCCGUCCAUGACACGGACGCCCGAUGCUUUGUGAGGCACUCUCGAAGAGUCGAGUUGUUUGGGAAUGCAGCUCAAAAUGGGUGGUAAAUUCCAUCUAAAGCUAAAUAUUGGCGAGAGACCGAUAGCGAACAAGUACCGUGAGGGAAAGAUGAAAAGCACUUUGGAAAGAGAGUUAAAUAGUACGUGAAAUUGUUGAAAGGGAAACGCUUGAAGUCAGUCGCGUCCCGUGGAACUCAGCCUGGCUUCGGCCUGGUGUACUUUCUAUGCGGACGGGUCAACAUCAGUUUUGGCCGGCGGAAAAGGGCAGAGGGAAUGUAGCGCCGCUUCGGUGGCGUGUUAUAGCCCUUUGUCAAAUACGCUGGCGGGGACUGAGGACUGCAGCACGCCCUUGUGGCCGGGGGUUCGCCCCACGGUAACGGUGCUUAGGAUGUUGGCAUAAUGGCUUUAAGCGACCCGUCUUGAAACACGGGACCAAGGAGUCCAACAUGCUUGCGAGUGUUCGGGUGGUAAACCCUUGCGCGUAAUGAAAGUGAAAGUUGGGAGCCUCCGAAAGGGGGUGCACCGACGCCCGGCCCUGAAGUUCUCUGACGGUGCUGCGGUAGAGCAAGUAUGCUGGGACCCGAAAGAUGGUGAACUAUGCCUGAAUAGGGCGAAGCCAGAGGAAACUCUGGUGGAGGCUCGUAGCGAUUCUGACGUGCAAAUCGAUCGUCAAAUUUGGGUAUAGGGGCGAAAG